GUCCAGACUCCUACGGGAGGCAGCAGUGGGGAAUAUUGGGCAAUGGGCGCAAGCCUGAUGCAGCGACGCCGCGUGGGUGAAGGAGCGUUUCGGCGCGUAAAGCCCUAUCGGCAGGGAAGAAGGAGGACGGUACCUGACUAAGAAGCCCCGACUAACUACGUGCCAGCAGCCGCGGGAAUACGUAGGGGGCAAGCGUUAUCCGGAUUUACUGGGUGUAAAGGGGGCGCAGACGGCAGCGCAAGCCGGGAGUGAAAGCCCGGGGCCCAACCCCGGGACUGCUCUUGGAACUGCGCGGCUGGAGUGCAGGAGGGGCAGGCGGAAUUCCUGGUGUAGCGGUGAAAUGCGUAGAUAUCAGGAGGAACACCGGCGGCGAAGGCGGCCUGCUGGACCGCGACUGACGUUGAGGCUUGAAAGCGUGGGGAGCGAACAGGAUUAGAUACCCCUGUA
This 447-nucleotide ribosomal RNA is filed under the name uncultured bacterium. RNAcentral's name for it is "partial 16S ribosomal RNA". It matches the Rfam family "Bacterial small subunit ribosomal RNA", at positions 329 to 792 of the family's 1533-position model. The record is from RNAcentral.